AUGAGCUUCGCACGCCGGCCAAUCACUCCCAUCGAGAUCUUGCGUAACUGCCGCGGCAAGGAGGUCUCCAUCGAACUUGCGGACGGCGAGACGGUGAACGGCACCGUCAUGCGCACGGAUCGUGCCAUGAACGUGGUAAUCAAGCAGUGCACUCGCACUGGCGCUGACGGCGAGUCGUUUUGGAAGUCGCGUGAGUGCUUUAUCCGUGGCGCCAGCGUCAAAAACGUGCGUAUGACGGACAGUGCACUUGUCGCCGUGCCGGCGCCAUCGAAACGCAAGGCGGCGGGCGGCAAAGGCACCGAUACCCACAAGGAGAAGUCGGUAGGAGGUGGCAAGCGGCCACGGAAGUAG
RNAcentral lists this unclassified non-coding RNA (351 nucleotides) under Leishmania infantum. Lineage: Eukaryota; Euglenozoa; Kinetoplastea; Trypanosomatida; Trypanosomatidae. The record is from RNAcentral.